This is a long non-coding RNA of Poecile atricapillus (Black-capped chickadee), 151 nucleotides long. RefSeq lists it as uncharacterized. The transcript is spliced from 3 exons. Lineage: Eukaryota; Metazoa; Chordata; Aves; Passeriformes; Paridae. The record is from RefSeq and is a predicted model, not a curated record.
GGGGGAAGCCACAGUUCGGAGGAGCGAGAUGAGAGCGAGAGCCUCUCCAGUGAGGAGGUCUGAGGAUUGGGAACGGUGACGCCGUGUGACCACCCCUCCAGCAGCACGAAGAGAUCCUGGAGGAGCCCCUGAACCCUGGAAUGAUCAAUAA